CAGCAGGGUGGGAGGGAGAUGCUUCUGGUACAGAGGCUUGGGGUUUUGAGGGCAUCUUAGCAGUAUCUCCCAUCCACCCACCUGGG
RNAcentral lists this microRNA precursor (86 nucleotides) under Mus spretus (western wild mouse). Its description in RNAcentral is "microRNA 1941 (ENSMSPG00010050296.1)". The record is from RNAcentral. Lineage: Eukaryota; Metazoa; Chordata; Mammalia; Rodentia; Muridae.